This 440-nucleotide ribosomal RNA is filed under the name uncultured bacterium. RNAcentral's name for it is "partial 16S ribosomal RNA". It matches the Rfam family "Bacterial small subunit ribosomal RNA", at positions 338 to 795 of the family's 1533-position model. The record is from RNAcentral.
CCUACGGGAGGCAGCAGUGGGGGAUAUUGCGCAAUGGGGGGAACCCUGAUGCAGCAACGCCGCGUGGGUGAAGGAGCGUUUCGGCGCGUAAAGCCCUAUCGGCAGGGAAGAAUAUGACGGUACCUGACCAAGAAACCCCGGCUAACUACGUGCCAGCAGCCGCGGGAAUACGUAGGGGGCAAGUGUUAUCCGGAUUUACUGGGUGUAAAGGGGGCGCAGACGGCGAUGCAAGCCAGGAGUGAAAGCCCGGGUCCGAACCCCGGGACUGCUCUUGGAACUGCAUGGCUGGAGUACAGGAGGGGCAGGCGGAAUUCCUAGUGUAGCGGUGAAAUGCGUAGAUAUUAGGAGGAACACCGGUGGCGAAGGCGGCCUGCUGGACUGUGACUGACGUUGAGGCGCGAAGGCGUGGGGAGCAAACAGGAUUAGAUACCCUUGUAGUC